CCUACGGGAGGCAGCAGUGAGGAAUAUUGGUCAAUGGGCGCAAGCCUGAACCAGCCAAGUAGCGUGAAGGAUGACUGCCCUACGGGUCGUAAACUUCUUUUGUCAAGGAAUAAAGUGCGGCACGUGUGCCUUUUUGUAUGUACUUUAUGAAUAAGGAUCGGCUAACUCCGUUCCAGCAGCCGCGGUAAUACGGGGGAUCCGGGCGUUAUCCGGAUUUCUUGGGUUUAAAGGGAGCGUAGAUGGGUUGUUAAGUCAGUUGUGAAAGUUUGCGGCUCAACCGUAAAAUUGCCGUUGAUACUGGGAGUCUGGAGUACAGUAGAGGUAGGCGGAAUGCGUGGUGUAGCGGUGAAAUGCUUAGAUAUCACGAAGAACUCCGAUUGCGAAGGCAGCUUACUAAAGUGCAACUGACAUUGAUGCUCGAAAGUGUGGGUAUCAAACAGGAUUAGAUACCCUAGUAGUC
This 460-nucleotide ribosomal RNA is filed under the name uncultured bacterium. RNAcentral describes it as "partial 16S ribosomal RNA". It matches the Rfam family "Bacterial small subunit ribosomal RNA", at positions 338 to 795 of the family's 1533-position model. The record is from RNAcentral.